Molecule: ribosomal RNA, 526 nt
Filed under: uncultured eukaryote
Lineage: Eukaryota
Description: bacterial SSU rRNA
Rfam family: Eukaryotic small subunit ribosomal RNA
Source: RNAcentral
AAGGCAGCAGGCGCGCAACUUACCCUAAUCUCGAUUCGAGGAGGUAGUGACAAGAAAUACCGAUGCGGGGACCCUACGGGUGCCGCGUUCGGAAUGAGUACGAUUCGAACCACCUAACGAGGAACGAUCGGAGGGCAAGUCUGGUGCCAGCAGCCGCGGUAAUUCCAGCUCCAAUAGCGUACGUUAAAGUUGCUGCAGUUAAAAAGCUCGUAGUUGAACGUUCGGGUUCCGCGGGACGGGGCCGCCCCGCGAGGGACGGCGCCGCCCCGGGGGCUCGUGAUAUCUUAUCUCGCCGCCCGUCGCGAGGCGGACGGAGGGAUGGAUGAGGUUACCUGGAAAAAAUCGGGGCGAUCUAGGCGGGCGAACCUCGCCAACGAACGAUCGGACAUGGGAUAACGGAAGAGGGCGUCGGCUCGACUUCGUCGGUUCCUCGGGCCGAGGCACGUACGGUGAAUAGGGACGGUCGGGGCCGCCCGUACCGGGUCGUGAGAGGUGAAAUUCUAGGAUCGACCCGAGACGAACUGCC